AACGAACGCUGGCGGCGCGCCUAAUACAUGCAAGUCGAGCGAGAAGGUGUAGCAAUACACUUGUAAAGCGGCGAACGGGUGAGGAAUGCAUGGGUAACCUACCCUCGAGUGGGGAAUAACUAGCCGAAAGGUUAGCUGAUACCGCAUACGUUUCCGGAACUUCGGUUUCGGAAAGAAAGCAAUACCGUGGGUAUUGCGCUCCUGGAUGGGCUCAUGUCCUAUCAGCUUGUUGGUGAGGUAACGGCUCACCAAGGCUUCGACGGGUAGCUGGUCUGAGAGGACGAUCAGCCACACUGGCACUGCGACACGGGCCAGACUCCUACGGGAGGCAGCAGUAAGGAAUAUUGCGCAAUGGACGAAAGUCUGACGCAGCGACGCCGCGUGGGGGAUGAAGGUCUUCGGAUUGUAAACCCCUUUCGGGAGGGAAGGAUGGAGUGGGUAACCACUUGGACGGUACCUCCAGAAGCAGCCACGGCGUAACUUCGUGCCAGCAGCCGCGGUAAU
Molecule: ribosomal RNA, 504 nt
Filed under: uncultured bacterium
Lineage: Bacteria
Description: bacterial SSU rRNA
Rfam family: Bacterial small subunit ribosomal RNA
Source: RNAcentral